UAAAUUAGAUACACAAUAAUAUACUAUGUUUCUUUAACAGAAAUAGCAGUUUAGGGAGUGCUCAAAAAAAUCAGAAAGCAGGAGAAGGGAAUGAAAGAAGCUUCUAGGAAUGAUUAGAUUAUAGCACUCAAUGGAAAGAGGUAAUAAAAUUAUUACUCAAAUAUCCUACUUUGGCAGGAGAUGGGGUGUUUUGUGAAUUUUUUUUAGAGGGUUAUUCAUUUUUAAAUGUUCAAAUACAAAAGCUUUAAUUUCUCUUGGCAAUUCAUCUUUGUUCUAGGAAAGGCGUUAGCAACUUGGAUAUUGACAGAGAUGGCAUGUUCAUCAAAUCUACAGAUCAUUCAAUCCACAAGAAUUUAAGUGCCUAUUAUUCAUUAAAUGCCAGGCACUGUGAUAGGCACUAGGAAUACAAAGCGAAAUGACUCAGUCAGUAAGAAGAAGAGGAAAAACUCUCGAUGACAAAACCAGGAUUUUAUAAGCAUGUCACCUCAACCCAGGUCAUUCUGACCCAUGACCACCAGGAGGUCCAUAUUGAAGACUGAACUUCUUAAAGGCCAGCAAACUUGGCAUGCACUGGAUAAAGAGGAAAAAACAAAUUCCAGAGGCCUUUCUAAAGUGCUCCACACUCAAACAAAGCCCAUUGUUGCUGAUUGAAAGCCUGGAUUCCCUUUAAGAGGACACCUGCGUUACAGGACCAGUGAUUAGGAUUCCUGUAUCAAAUGCUUGAAGGGUCAACAAAGUUUAGGCAAGAAGUCAUUCCAGAACUGGGGAGAUUAUGGAGGUAGGAAAUUGGGAAUCAUGGAGAAUUUCCUAAAUAUUCUUUUUGCCUUCCCACAGUGCCCUCACUCCUCCCCUUUUCCAAUCAAUUGCAAAGUCCUGCUGAUUCUAUUUCAAUAAUUAUCAUUUACUUCUGCUCCCUCUUUCCCACUCCCUUUGCAGCUGCCCUAGCUCAGAAUUUCAUCUUGCCUAGAUGGCUGCAAUGGCUUCCUAACUGUUUUUUGUUUUGUUUUGCUUUUAGUUUUCUUUAGCUCAUCCUUCACUACAUCAUUCUGUCAUUCAAAAACACUUG
RNAcentral lists this long non-coding RNA (1066 nucleotides) under Sarcophilus harrisii (Tasmanian devil). Its description in RNAcentral is "lncRNA (ENSSHAG00000022429.1)". Lineage: Eukaryota; Metazoa; Chordata; Mammalia; Dasyuromorphia; Dasyuridae. The record is from RNAcentral.